Molecule: long non-coding RNA, 452 nt
Organism: Tyto alba (common barn owl)
Lineage: Eukaryota; Metazoa; Chordata; Aves; Strigiformes; Tytonidae
Exons: 5
Source: RefSeq, a predicted model, not a curated record
CAGCGUUCCGGGAAGCGGAUGGCGUCAUCCCGUCCUCCCGCGGCGGUUGCCGGCGGAGGGGCGGGGACUUGAAACAAAGGAAUAAAAAUAGCAGGGCAGACUAGAAGGAGUUUCUGGCGGAAGUUAAGAAAGAGGCAAUAGCUUCAAGCAAGUAUAAGCGGAAUUACCAGUGAUCCUGAGCACUUUCAGAUAGAAAAGAGUAGGUAAGAUGUGAGCAAGAAACUUAAGAAGUGUACAGUCUACUACAGGGUGUUUUAGGACUACAAACUGGUUUCAUUCCACUGUUUCCUGUCAGCUUUCUCUGUAGCCCUUAAGGAAAAGAGGCAAGGAAAGUGUUGCCUCCCACUUCUUUGUAAAAGAUGACCCAAGCCAAGAAGAUCUAAGAGUAAGUUUUGUAAACAAGUAAAUUAGGACUCACACCUUCUACUGAACAGGAAGAAAAAAGCCGCAAC